GGGCCGUUAGCUCAGCUGGUAGAGCAAGUGACUCUUAAUCACUAGGUCGUUGGUUCGAAACCAACACGGCUCACCA
Molecule: transfer RNA, 76 nt
Filed under: Ketogulonicigenium robustum
Lineage: Bacteria; Pseudomonadati; Pseudomonadota; Alphaproteobacteria; Rhodobacterales; Roseobacteraceae
Description: tRNA-Lys
Rfam family: tRNA
About the family: Transfer RNA (tRNA) molecules are approximately 80 nucleotides in length. Their secondary structure includes four short double-helical elements and three loops (D, anti-codon, and T loops).
Source: RNAcentral